Molecule: microRNA precursor, 75 nt
Organism: Bos taurus (domestic cattle)
Lineage: Eukaryota; Metazoa; Chordata; Mammalia; Artiodactyla; Bovidae
Source: Ensembl
CGCUAUCCCACUCCGGCCUGGACUGCGGCGGGAGGCUGCUGUCGCCGCCCAGCCCUUGCUGGAGCCUAUCUAGUG